RNAcentral lists this ribosomal RNA (253 nucleotides) under uncultured bacterium. Its description in RNAcentral is "partial 16S ribosomal RNA". It matches the Rfam family "Bacterial small subunit ribosomal RNA", at positions 524 to 776 of the family's 1533-position model. The record is from RNAcentral.
UACGUAGGGGGCAAGCGUUGUCCGGAAUUAUUGGGCGUAAAGAGCUUGUAGGCGGUUUGUCGCGUCUGCUGUGAAAUUUCGGGGCUCAACCCCGAACUUGCAGUGGGUACGGGCAGACUAGAGUGUGGUAGGGGAGACUGGAAUUCCUGGUGUAGCGGUGAAAUGCGCAGAUAUCGGGAAGAACACCCGUGGCGAAGGCGGUUCUCUGGGACGGUACUGACGCUGAGACGCGAAAGCGUGGGGAGCGAACAGG